UACGUAGGGCGCAAGCGUUAAUCGGAAUUACUGGGCGUAAAGCGUGCGCAGGCGGUUUUGUAAGUCUGACGUGAAAUCCCCGGGCUUAACCUGGGAAUUGCGUUGGAGACUGCAAGGCUGGAGUCUGGCAGAGGGGGGUAGAAUUCCACGUGUAGCAGUGAAAUGCGUAGAGAUGUGGAGGAACACCGAUGGCGAAGGCAGCCCCCUGGGUCAAGACUGACGCUCAUGCACGAAAGCGUGGGGAGCAAACAGG
RNAcentral lists this ribosomal RNA (253 nucleotides) under uncultured bacterium. RNAcentral describes it as "partial 16S ribosomal RNA". It matches the Rfam family "Bacterial small subunit ribosomal RNA", at positions 524 to 776 of the family's 1533-position model. The record is from RNAcentral.